Molecule: ribosomal RNA, 408 nt
Filed under: uncultured bacterium
Lineage: Bacteria
Description: partial 16S ribosomal RNA
Rfam family: Bacterial small subunit ribosomal RNA
Source: RNAcentral
GACGAACGCUGGCGGCGUGCUUCACACAUGCAAGUCGAACGGAGUGGCGAACGGGUGAGUAACACGUGGGUGAUCUGCCUUGCACUUCGGGAUAAGCUUGGGAAACUGGGUCUAAUACCGGAUAGUGCAAGAUGAGCUCGCGGCCUAUCAGCUUGUUGGUGGGGUAAUGGCCUACCAAGGCGUCGACGGGUAGCCGGCCUGAGAGGGUGUACGGCCACAUUGCGACUGAGAUACUGCCCAGACUCCGACGGGAGGCAGCAGUGGGGAAUAUUGCACAAUGGGCGGAAGCCGGAUGCAGCGACGCCGCGUGGGGGGUGAAGGCCUUCGGGUUGUAAACGCCUAUCGACAGGGACGGGGUACCUGUAUAAGAAGCACCGGCUAACUACGUGCCAGCAGCCGCGGUAAUUC